Siniperca chuatsi (mandarin fish) is the source of this 728-nucleotide long non-coding RNA. RefSeq lists it as uncharacterized. NCBI's taxonomy places the organism in Eukaryota, Metazoa, Chordata, Actinopteri, Centrarchiformes, Sinipercidae. The record is from RefSeq and is a predicted model, not a curated record. The transcript has 2 exons.
ACACACACACACACACACACACACACACACACACACACACACACACACACACACACACACACACACACACACACACACACACACACACACACACACACACACACACACACACACACACACUGUACAGUAUACAAUGCACAAGCCCCAUACACACAAAAUUAAGACCGUUAAAAACACUUGAUAAAAGCACAAUAUGGUAUUAUAAAAUAAAAUUAAUUGCACAUGUAGAGACGAGAUGGAGGAAGCACAGUGAGUGGAGCAGGAAGGGGGGAGGGACAGCGGUGAGCAUGGCAGAGAAAAGGAUACAGUACAUUCAGUAAACAAAAAACAGGAGAAAAAGAAAAAAAAAGGCAAGAUCAGAAUCAAAAAACACUGAAAAGAAUUAAAUAAAAAUCAAAAUACGUUUUUCCAGUUUGUCAUUUUUUUUUCCUUCAGUCAUUGAUUUGAAGCCAACUCUGGGGUGUGCCAGUCUUACAGUAGUCCCAGUCUUGUCUCCGGAGAGCGAGCUCGGUCAGUUGUGUAGAUUUUAAUUGUUUUCUUGCUUUAUUUAAAAUCAAUGUUCAACGUCUACAUCUCUACAGACCCAACGUCAGAGCAUCGGGCGGGGGAGUAGUGGUAGGGUGCAAGUCUUCCAUGACCUGACAUAUGCACAGGCAUUUACACAAGUGCACACACACACACACGUUCGCGCACACAUACAUACACACACACACACACACACACACACA